RNAcentral lists this unclassified non-coding RNA (200 nucleotides) under Capnodiales sp. RNAcentral's name for it is "partial internal transcribed spacer 2". Lineage: Eukaryota; Fungi; Ascomycota; Dothideomycetes; Capnodiales. The record is from RNAcentral.
UUAAGUUCAGCGGGUAUCCCUACCCGAUCCGAGGUCAACCUGUAAUGAAUUUUAACGGCACGUCCGGUCGUCUUCGCCAGCGAUUUGAUAAACCACAACGCUGAGAUUCGAACCGUCCAGCCGAUGAAUUGGGGGCGCGGGGGACUCCCGCCGCCCAAUACCAAGCGAGGCUUGAGUGGUGUAAUGACGCUCGAACGGGC